UGGGGAAUAUUGCACAAUGGGCGCAAGCCUGAUGCAGCCAUGCCGCGUGUGUGAAGAAGGCCUUCGGGUUGUAAAGCACUUUCAGCGGGGAGGAAGGCGAUAAGGUUAAUAACCUCAUCGAUUGACGUUACCCGCAGAUGAAGCACCGGCUAACCCCGUGCCAGCAGCCGCGGUAAUUCGGAGGGUGCAAGCGUUAAUCGGAAUUACUGGGCGUAAAGCGCACGCAGGCGGUCUGUCAAGUCGGAUGUGAAAUCCCCGGGCUCAACCUGGGAACUGCAUUCGAAACUGGCAGGCUAGAGUCUUGUAGAGGGGGGUAGAAUUCCAGGUGUAGCGGUGAAAUGCGUAGAGAUCUGGAGGAAUACCGGUGGCGAAGGCGGCCCCCUGGACAAAGACUGUCGCUCAGGUGCGAAAGCGUGGGGAGCAAACAGG
RNAcentral lists this ribosomal RNA (429 nucleotides) under Chloroflexota bacterium. RNAcentral's name for it is "Chloroflexi bacterium partial 16S ribosomal RNA". It matches the Rfam family "Bacterial small subunit ribosomal RNA", at positions 355 to 776 of the family's 1533-position model. Lineage: Bacteria; Bacillati; Chloroflexota. The record is from RNAcentral.